AGAGUUUGAUUAUGGCUCAGGAUGAACGCUAGCGGCAGGCUUAACACAUGCAAGUCGAGGGGCAGCGGGAUGUAGCAAUACAUUGCCGGCGACCGGCGGAUGGGUGCGUAACGCGUAUGCAACCUACCUUAUACAGGGGAAUAACCUUUCGAAAGGGAGACUAACACCCCAUAGUAUUGAUUUAAGGCAUCUUAGAUUAAUUAAAUAUUUAUAGGUAUAAGAUGGGCAUGCGUAUGAUUAGCUAGUUGGUAAGGUAACGGCUUACCAAGGCGACGAUCAUUAGGGGUUCUGAGAGGAAGGUCCCCCACACUGGUACUGAGACACGGACCAGACUCCUACGGGAGGCAGCAGUGAGGAAUAUUGGUCAAUGGGCGCAAGCCUGAACCAGCCAUGCCGCGUGCAGGAAAGACGGCCUUAUGGGUUGUAAACUGCUUUUACAUAAGACUAACCGUAUAUUUGCGAAUAUACCUGAAUGUAUUAUGAGAAUAAGGAUCGGCUAACUCCGUGCCAGCAGCCGC
Molecule: ribosomal RNA, 518 nt
Filed under: uncultured bacterium
Lineage: Bacteria
Description: bacterial SSU rRNA
Rfam family: Bacterial small subunit ribosomal RNA
Source: RNAcentral